CCUACGGGGGGCAGCAGUGGGGAAUAUUGGGCAAUGGGCGCAAGCCUGACCCAGCAAAGCCGCGUGAAGGAAGAAGGCUUUCGGGUUGUAAACUUCUUUUAAGGGGGAAGAGCAGAAGACGGUACCCCUUGAAUAAGCCACGGCUAACUACGUGCCAGCAGCCGCGGUAAUACGUAGGUGGCAAGCGUUGUCCGGAUUUACUGGGUGUAAAGGGCGUGCAGCCGGGGAGACAAGUCAGAUGUGAAAUCCACGGGCUCAACCCGUGAACUGCAUUUGAAACUGUUUCCCUUGAGUGUCGGAGAGGUAAUCGGAAUUCCUUGUGUAGCGGUGAAAUGCGUAGAUAUAAGGAAGAACACCAGUGGCGAAGGCGGAUUACUGGACGAUAACUGACGGUGAGGCGCGAAAGCGUGGGGAGCAAACAGGAUUAGAUACCCCAGUAGUC
Molecule: ribosomal RNA, 442 nt
Filed under: uncultured bacterium
Lineage: Bacteria
Description: partial 16S ribosomal RNA
Rfam family: Bacterial small subunit ribosomal RNA
Source: RNAcentral